Molecule: small nuclear RNA, 107 nt
Organism: Heterocephalus glaber (naked mole-rat)
Lineage: Eukaryota; Metazoa; Chordata; Mammalia; Rodentia; Bathyergidae
Source: Ensembl
GUGCUCGCUUCGGCAGCACAUAUACUAAAAUUGGAAUGAUACAGAGAAGAUCAGCAUGGCCCCCGCGCAAGGAUGACAUGCAAAUUCGUGAAGCGUUCCACAUUUUU